RNAcentral lists this ribosomal RNA (258 nucleotides) under uncultured bacterium. RNAcentral describes it as "partial 16S ribosomal RNA". It matches the Rfam family "Bacterial small subunit ribosomal RNA", at positions 29 to 269 of the family's 1533-position model. The record is from RNAcentral.
AACGAACGCUGGCGGCGUGCCUCAGACAUGCAAGUCGAACGAGAAAGUUCCCUUCGGGGAGCGAGUAAAGUGGCGCACGGGUGAGUAACACGUAGGUAAUCUACCUUCGGGUGGGAAGUAACCAGGAAACUGGGCUACACCGCAUAAUGCAGCGGCACCACAUGGUGACAGUUGUUAAAGCGGGGGAGUUUUAGGUACCUCGCGCCUGAAGAGGAGCCUGCGGCGGAUUAGCUUGUUGGAAGGUUAACGGACGUUACC